GGGGGCACGAACCGGAUUAGAUACCCGGGUAGUCCCAGCCGUAAACGAUGCUCGCUAGGUGUCAGGCCUGGCGCGACCGUGUCUGGUGCCGUAGGGAAGCCGUGAAGCGAGCCACCUGGGAAGUACGGCCGCAAGGCUGAAACUUAAAGGAAUUGGCGGGGGAGCACAACAACGGGUGGAGCCUGCGGUUUAAUUGGACUCAACGCCGGACAACUCACCGGGGGCGACAGCAAUAUGUAGGCCAGGCUGACCACUUUGCCUGAAUCGCUGACACGAUGUGCAUGGCCGUCUCCAGUUCGUACUGUGAAGCAUCCUGUUCACUCAGGCAACCAGCGAGACCCGUGCCCCUGUUACCAGCAUGUCCUCCGGGACCAUGGGUACACUGUGGGGACCGCCGGUGUUAUAUCGGAGGAAGGCGCCGGCCCCCGG
Molecule: ribosomal RNA, 429 nt
Filed under: uncultured bacterium
Lineage: Bacteria
Description: bacterial SSU rRNA
Rfam family: Archaeal small subunit ribosomal RNA
Source: RNAcentral